This 254-nucleotide unclassified non-coding RNA is filed under the name Athalia rosae (coleseed sawfly). RNAcentral describes it as "misc RNA ENSAEAG00005012247.1". The record is from RNAcentral. Lineage: Eukaryota; Metazoa; Arthropoda; Insecta; Hymenoptera; Athaliidae.
GUGACGGAUUCCUCGAUACUCGUGGAACCCCGCCAAACAAGAGUCGAGCUUCAGCUGUGGUGGCCAUUAUUACGGCGGUCCGAUACUAUCGAGAUGCGUGGAACGAAAGAUGUGAAGCCGUGUGAUUCUCGGGAUUGGACCUAUGCACCCGCAGUUCUAUACACGAAGACGAAGGCAAUUGACCCCAUCUCUCCGACAAUCAUCAUGCUCACUAAUAAUUACCAUUAAUUGCGCAAUUGAUGAAAUUAGAUGAG